Molecule: ribosomal RNA, 253 nt
Filed under: uncultured bacterium
Lineage: Bacteria
Description: partial 16S ribosomal RNA
Rfam family: Bacterial small subunit ribosomal RNA
Source: RNAcentral
UACGAAGGGUGCAAACGUUGCUCGGAAUUAUUGGGCGUAAAGCGCACGUAGGCGGCUUUGCAAGUCCCAUGUGAAAUCCCACGGCUCAACCGUGGAAGUGCAUGGGAAACUGCAGAGCUUGAGUACUUAAGAGGAUCGCGGAAUUCCCGGUGUAGAGGUGAAAUUCGUAGAUAUUCGGAGGAACACCAGUGGCGAAGGCGACUGCCUGGACAAAGACUGACGCUGAGGUGCGAAAGCGUGGGGAGCAAACAGG